This 66-nucleotide transfer RNA is filed under the name Tchangsinaia piscicula. RNAcentral describes it as "tRNA-Ser". Lineage: Eukaryota; Metazoa; Mollusca; Bivalvia; Unionida; Unionidae. The record is from RNAcentral.
AGAAGAUCUGGUUACAAAUCUUGACUUGAACUCAGGAACAGGGCGUUCAACUCGCCCAUCUUCUUC